RNAcentral lists this ribosomal RNA (1333 nucleotides) under Parabacteroides sp. S449. Its description in RNAcentral is "bacterial SSU rRNA". It matches the Rfam family "Bacterial small subunit ribosomal RNA", at positions 90 to 1424 of the family's 1533-position model. The record is from RNAcentral. Lineage: Bacteria; Pseudomonadati; Bacteroidota; Bacteroidia; Bacteroidales; Tannerellaceae.
GGCGACCGGCGCACGGGUGAGUAACGCGUAUGCAACUUGCCUAUCAGAGGGGGAUAACCCGGCGAAAGUCGGACUAAUACCGCAUGAAGCAGGGGCCCCGCAUGGGGAUAUUUGCUAAAGAUUCAUCGCUGAUAGAUAGGCAUGCGUUCCAUUAGGCAGUUGGCGGGGUAACGGCCCACCAAACCGACGAUGGAUAGGGGUUCUGAGAGGAAGGUCCCCCACAUUGGUACUGAGACACGGACCAAACUCCUACGGGAGGCAGCAGUGAGGAAUAUUGGUCAAUGGCCGAGAGGCUGAACCAGCCAAGUCGCGUGAGGGAUGAAGGUUCUAUGGAUCGUAAACCUCUUUUAUAAGGGAAUAAAGUGCGGGACGUGUCCCGUUUUGUAUGUACCUUAUGAAUAAGGAUCGGCUAACUCCGUGCCAGCAGCCGCGGUAAUACGGAGGAUCCGAGCGUUAUCCGGAUUUAUUGGGUUUAAAGGGUGCGUAGGCGGCCUUUUAAGUCAGCGGUGAAAGUCUGUGGCUCAACCAUAGAAUUGCCGUUGAAACUGGGGGGCUUGAGUAUGUUUGAGGCAGGCGGAAUGCGUGGUGUAGCGGUGAAAUGCAUAGAUAUCACGCAGAACCCCGAUUGCGAAGGCAGCCUGCCAAGCCAUUACUGACGCUGAUGCACGAAAGCGUGGGGAUCAAACAGGAUUAGAUACCCUGGUAGUCCACGCAGUAAACGAUGAUCACUAGCUGUUUGCGAUACACUGUAAGCGGCACAGCGAAAGCGUUAAGUGAUCCACCUGGGGAGUACGCCGGCAACGGUGAAACUCAAAGGAAUUGACGGGGGCCCGCACAAGCGGAGGAACAUGUGGUUUAAUUCGAUGAUACGCGAGGAACCUUACCCGGGUUUGAACGCAUUCGGACCGAGGUGGAAACACCUUUUCUAGCAAUAGCCGUUUGCGAGGUGCUGCAUGGUUGUCGUCAGCUCGUGCCGUGAGGUGUCGGCUUAAGUGCCAUAACGAGCGCAACCCUUGCCACUAGUUACUAACAGGUAAAGCUGAGGACUCUGGUGGGACUGCCAGCGUAAGCUGCGAGGAAGGCGGGGAUGACGUCAAAUCAGCACGGCCCUUACAUCCGGGGCGACACACGUGUUACAAUGGCGUGGACAAAGGGAGGCCACCUGGCGACAGGGAGCGAAUCCCCAAACCACGUCUCAGUUCGGAUCGGAGUCUGCAACCCGACUCCGUGAAGCUGGAUUCGCUAGUAAUCGCGCAUCAGCCAUGGCGCGGUGAAUACGUUCCCGGGCCUUGUACACACCGCCCGUCAAGCCAUGGGAGCCGGGGGUACCUGA